AUGAGUUGGACAUGUCUAGGGGGGCUGUGGAAGGCUGGCAUUCCCCUCAAGAUUAAGAUCUUUAUGUGGCAAAUGUUCCGUAAUCGACUUCCUACAUCGGAUAAUGUGGCCAAGCGCAACGGUCCGGCGAAUGGGACAUGCACCAUCUGUGGGCCGGGGGAGGAUGCUAACCACGUCUUCUUCAGAUGCGGUCUCGCUAGAUUUGCAUGGAGUGCGGCCAGAGAGGCUUUUAACCAGAACUGGAAUCCGCAAACUAGCAACGACCUUCUUACCAUACUAACCGCGCAGAAGGGUACGAAUGCUCGGGUGCUGUGGCGAUGCGUAGGAGCGAUGCUUUGGUCAAUUUGGACCAUGCGGAACAAAAUUACUAUUGAACACAAGUUUCCUGCUCACCCCGCUGAUACUCUUUUCAAAUGUCAUUACUUUCUUACAGGCUUGGGCGCCAUUGAGGAAACAGCAUGA
Molecule: ribosomal RNA, 462 nt
Filed under: Triticum aestivum (bread wheat)
Lineage: Eukaryota; Viridiplantae; Streptophyta; Magnoliopsida; Poales; Poaceae
Description: partial small subunit ribosomal RNA
Source: RNAcentral